Triticum dicoccoides is the source of this 2815-nucleotide long non-coding RNA. RefSeq lists it as uncharacterized. NCBI's taxonomy places the organism in Eukaryota, Viridiplantae, Streptophyta, Magnoliopsida, Poales, Poaceae. The record is from RefSeq and is a predicted model, not a curated record. The transcript has 2 exons.
UUUUCCUCGCCUUAGGAAAAUUAGAACUGCAUUAUGCUCUGUGCAACCAUGUUGUUCAGUAAAUGUGUGUUUGCAUCUUCCGUUGACUAUGCCUAGCUAAGCAAGUAGAGUAUUUCUAGCUAGCACAAGCUACAGGAUGCAAGGGCUAGGAGAUUUGCUUGGUUCAUCUUCAUCUAGCUUUCUACUAGUACUAGCUAGCCAUGAAAUAUGAGCAAACAGUGGUUAUCAUCACAGUAGCACCUGCGGAUCACUUUUCUCGUUCUUGCUGGUUUUUUUAGUCCAUUGAAGCUAGUUUGAUUGGCAAAGCUGGUUUUAAAUUGUUUUAACCAACCAAACACCUAUUUCUUUCUUAAGCAAGGUUAUAACCAUUCUUGCUUGCUUGGAAUCCAAAUGCGCCCUAACUGACCUGACCGGAAGCGCCACUAUGCCCAUCAUUCCGAUAGGUUACUUUCCUGCUUGAUGCAGUGAUAUGUCACGAUAUCAGUUUCCAGUAUCCAGUAUCCUUACUAGGAAUGGCUAGCAAUAGUGCCAGGGGUAACCUUUAUGUUAAUCGUUUCUUGAGUAGACUGCCAUUAUUCUAGUAGUAGGAAUCCAACACUCCAUUUUCGAUUGAUAUUGCCACAGACUGCAACACAUUGUUCUGUUAGAACUUCCCCGUGGUGAUUCUUUCAUUUUUUUUAUUUGCAUUUAAAUCCUGCAACCUGGAGCUGUUUGUGAAUAUGCAAUUUGGAGAUGCUCUUGUCAAGGUACAAGAUGAAAUGCUGAUGCAAAACUCUUUACCAUCAUGAUCUAUUUGCAGUUAGAUAUCACAGAUUUAGUGUCUGAUGGUUUUGAUUGAUCAUGUUUAAGUUGUUCAGGUUGACUGGCACUUGGAAGUACUAUAUUAAAUUUUUAUGCUGAACUCUUCAUUUGGAAUAUCACGAUUUCAUAGGACAUUUGUCAUCUGCCCUUGAUCCUUUAAUCAUAUUAUUAAUAUUUCUUUUAUUCUCACGCUGUAGCUUUAUUUCUAUGUUGGUUUACCCACCUAUCAUAAUCCAUGUAAAUUAACCGUCUUCCUGGAUUUGUUGGGUCGAUGCACUGUUGAUAUUUUUUUUGGGAGGCCUAUAUUGCUAUAUCCUUGUAUUUUUCUUUUUGUCCAGUUGUUUCAUCUGCAUCUUUGCUGUAUCGAUGUUUCAUCAACAUAUGCUAUUUACUUUUUGCAAGGUCUCUCCUAACUGUAGCCUAUUUUAGUUUAGGCAUAUGAUUUUUUUUAUGCUUCUGCCAUUCUUCAAUUCCGAUGUCCGUGACUCUGUGCUAAUGGAUGAACCGAGCCUGUUUCUGUUCUUGGUAUUAUCUUUUGAGCUUCAACUCCAAAAAAUUGCCCGGGUGCAUAAGGGCUCUUAGGCCACUUUUGGCAUUGUGGUAGAUUACAAUAAUCUUGUUUGCCUAACCAGCCUUUCCCUAUCUUAAUGUUUGGUAACCAGCUCUUUCUUGCUUUCAUGGAGUAUUUAUCCACAUCACUUCGCUAUGAAACAAGUUCAGUGUAGCACAAUUAGGCAACUGUAAGCUGAGCCUUAUUGUCCUAUGCCAAUUUAUCCACGAUCAUCUUGAGCUUAUUCAAUAACAUCACUUAUUUCACUUGUUAUCUUCUGAGUCUACUAACUAGUGAGCUUAUAACGUAAGUGCAAGGCAGGGCAGAAGGGAUUGAAUAUGAACCGUUCAUUUCUAGGAACCCUAAAUGAUAAGUCUUAUUUUGGAGAUUAUUCUGUAAAAACUCCUAGCUUGUUUUUAUAAUGCUUGUGGUUUUGUGAGUUAAGCAUUGAGAGUGUUGCUCAUAUCGUACAUUGUUACUGUUGGUUUCAGUUGCCAACUUGCCUUGGCUCAUGAGUUAUUGUUGAACCUUUCAAUAUUGUUCUCUGAUUUUGCUGUUAGAUUUUUAGGCUUCUUCAUGUACUUGGUACACUAACUUUGUACGUUGAACACUGUAUCAUGUGACCUGUGACGCUGUGAUGAUACCUUUGUAAAACAAUUCCCAACUGUUGGGACUGAUUGGCAUAUAGCGAAUGCUGCAAUUGUUCCCAUUCAAUGCCUGAGUCAUGACCACUUCUAAAUUGUGCAGUUUAUUUCCCUGUCUUAGCUUGCUAACCGCAUCUAAAUUCUCUACUUGAGCAAUCUUUUCACUUUUGCUUUGUUUUCAGCUGUCUAAUAUAAUAUAUUUCUUCAUCUGUUUUGUGAUUUGCCUGUAUAAUCAUGUUAACACUUCUGUGCGCUAAAUCUAUGUGCUUAGUUGGUAAUUGUAGUUCACAUUGUUGGUCUUUCCUCUUUUCUCCUUUUCUCCCUAAGGCACUCUGGUUCAGAGCUACACGCUAUUUAUUUCUGCAAGGUCACUUGUAAAUCCUAACUGUAGGCUAUUUUAAUUUAGGUAUAUGAAAACUUGAAUGCUGCUGCCAUUCUUCAAUUCUGAUGUCCAUGACUCUAUGCUAAUGGAUGAACUGAACCUGUUUCAUUCUUGGUAUUAUCUUUUAAGCUUCAAGACCAAAUAGUAGGCGGGAGCUAUUCCAGGGGAUGCGUAGUGGCUCUUAGGGAAGGCGAUGAGUAUCGAAUACAGCUCUGCCCAACAUCAAGUGACAUAGUAGAUGAGAAGAUUUAAUUAUAUCUGAUCUUCUUGUUUGUUCGGCCUGUUUGUGGUGUCUGUUUGUUCACUUCAUUCUAUUGUGUAGCUUUCUGGUGUGAACUUUAUGUUUUAAGAGUCCAUUGCAUGUUAUUUUCUGUUCCACCUUGUUAGUUCUAUGAGCUGAGACGAUGAGAAUAUUAAUCUCCGCAUGUUUUCUUUGCA